Molecule: ribosomal RNA, 1083 nt
Filed under: uncultured bacterium
Lineage: Bacteria
Description: bacterial SSU rRNA
Rfam family: Bacterial small subunit ribosomal RNA
Source: RNAcentral
GAGUUUGAUCCUGGCUCAGGACGAACGCUGGCGGCGUGCUUAACACAUGCAAGUCGAGCGAUGAAGUUUCUUCGGAAAUGGAUUAGCGGCGAACGGGUGAGGAACACGUGAAGAAUCUGCCCUCCACUUUGGGAUAACACCGGGAAACCGGUGCUAAUACCGAAUAUUGAAACAUAAGUGGCAUCACUGAGUUUUUAAAGAAUUUCGGUGGAGGAUGACUUCGCGGCCUAUCAGCUAGUUGGUGAGGUAAUGGCUCACCAAGGCAACGACGGGUAGCCGGCCUGAGAGGGCGACCGGCCACACUGGGACUGAGACACGGCCCAGACUCCUACGGGAGGCAGCAGUGGGGAAUCUUGCGCAAUGGGCGAAAGCCUGACGCAGCAACGCCGCGUGCGGGAAGAAGGCUUUCGGGCUGUAAACCGCUUUCAGCAGGAAUGAAAAUGACGGUACCUGCAGAAGAAGGAGCGGCCAACUAUGUGCCAGCAGCCGCGGUGAUACAUAGGCUUCAAGCGUUGUCCGGAUUUAUUGGGCGUAAAGAGUUCGUAGGCGGUCAAGUAAGUCGGGUGUGAAAAUUCUGGGCUUAACCCAGAGACGCCACCCGAUACUGCUUAACUUGAGUUCGAUAGGGGAGUGGGGAAUUCCUAGUGUAGCGGUGAAAUGCGCAGAUAUUAGGAGGAACACCGGUGGCGAAGGCGCCACUCUGGAUCGAUACUGACGCUGAGGAACGAAAGCAUGGGUAGCAAACAGGAUUAGAUACCUUGGUAGUCCAUGCCGUAAACGGUGGGCACUAGGUGCGGGAUUCUAUUAACGAAUUCCGCGCCGUCGCUAACGCAUUAAGUGCCCCGCCUGGGGAGUACGGUCGCAAGACUAAAACUCAAAGGAAUUGACGGGGACCCGCACAAGCGGUGGAGUAUGUGGCUUAAUUCGAUGCAACGCGAAGAACCUUACCUGGCCUUGACAUGCAUCUCUAAUCCGGUGAAAGCCGGUGAGUGUAGCAAUACACAAUUUGCACAGGUGCUGCAUGGCUGUCGUCAGCUCGUGUCGUGAGAUGUUGGGUUAAGUCCCGCAACGAGCGCAACCCAA